UACGAAGGGGGCUAGCGUUGCUCGGAAUCACUGGGCGUAAAGGGCGCGUAGGCGGCGUUUUAAGUCGGGGGUGAAAGCCUGUGGCUCAACCACAGAAUGGCCUUCGAUACUGGGACGCUUGAGUAUGGUACAGGUUGGUGGAACUGCGAGUGUAGAGGUGAAAUUCGUAGAUAUUCGCAAGAACACCGGUGGCGAAGGCGGCCAACUGGACGGUAACUGACGCUGAGACGCGAAAGCGUGGGGAGCAAACAGG
RNAcentral lists this ribosomal RNA (253 nucleotides) under uncultured bacterium. RNAcentral's name for it is "partial 16S ribosomal RNA". It matches the Rfam family "Bacterial small subunit ribosomal RNA", at positions 524 to 776 of the family's 1533-position model. The record is from RNAcentral.